CGCAGACGCCCGCCUGACGGAGGAGGUGGGGAGGGAGGAGGCAGCAGCGGAGGCAACAGCGGGAGGAGGCAGAGGAGCCAGAGCGACGGCCUCGGAGGUGGCCCUUACCCAAACGCACAAGCUGAUUGGUGGACUCUGGAAGGCUGGGCGGAAACGGAAAAGGCCAAGGGCCAAUGGACUGAGACCGCCGGGGGCGCACCCGCUUGUUUGGGAAGUAACUCUGCCCAUGGAAAGCCAGACUUCUUGGAUCUGGGGCCCAUAGCCUAGGCCCAUUGCCCAUAGCCAUUUAUUGGCUGGCUAACUACAGGAAUUUCAGAAACAGCCUAAAUGUCCAUCAACAGAUGACUGGAUAAAGAAGAUGUGGUGUAUUUAUACAAUGGAAUACUAUUCAGCCAUAAAAACCAACAACAUAACGCCACUUGCAGCAACAUGGAUGUUCCUGGAGAAUGUCAUUCUAAGUGAAGUAAGCGAGAAAGAGAAAGAAAAAUACCAUAUGAGAUCACUCAUAUGUGGAAUCUGAAAAAAAAAAAAAUACAAAACAGAAACAGACUCAUAGACAUAGAAUACAAACUUGUGGUUGCCAUGGGGACAGAGGGGUGGGAUUUCAAAAUGCAGAAUAGAUAAACAAGAUUAUACUGUACAGCACAGGGAAAUAUAUACAAGAUCUUGUGGUAGCUCACAGCAAAAAAAAAAAAUGUGACAAUGAAUAUAUGUAUGUUCAUGUACAACUGAAAAAUUGCUCUACACUGGAA
This is a long non-coding RNA of Camelus dromedarius (Arabian camel), 752 nucleotides long. RefSeq lists it as uncharacterized. Lineage: Eukaryota; Metazoa; Chordata; Mammalia; Artiodactyla; Camelidae. The record is from RefSeq and is a predicted model, not a curated record. The transcript is spliced from 3 exons.